RNAcentral lists this ribosomal RNA (334 nucleotides) under uncultured bacterium. RNAcentral's name for it is "bacterial SSU rRNA". It matches the Rfam family "Bacterial small subunit ribosomal RNA", at positions 568 to 898 of the family's 1533-position model. The record is from RNAcentral.
CGUGUAGGCGGAUCGGUAAGUCUACUCUGAAAGCUCCUGGCUAAACUGGGAGAGGCGAGUGGAGACUGUCGGUCUAGAGUGAGGAAGAGGAAAGUGGAAUUCCGCGUGUAGUGGUGAAAUGCGUAGAGAUGCGGAGGAACACCAGUGGCGAAAGCGGCUUUCUGGUCCUUAACUGACGCUGAGGCGCGAAAGCAUGGGGAGCGAACGGGAUUAGAAACCCCGGUAGUCCAUGCCGUAAACGAUGUUCACUAAACGUUCGUUUCCCGCGAGGGAAGUGGGUGUUGAAGCUAACGCAGUAAGUGAACCGCCUGGGGAGUACGGUCGCAAGGCUAAA